This 1576-nucleotide ribosomal RNA is filed under the name Stenella attenuata (bridled dolphin). RNAcentral's name for it is "16S ribosomal RNA". The stretch from base 79 to 1463 matches the Rfam family "Bacterial large subunit ribosomal RNA". The record is from RNAcentral. Lineage: Eukaryota; Metazoa; Chordata; Mammalia; Artiodactyla; Delphinidae.
ACUAUAUCUAGCCCAUACCCCUCCUCAUCACAACUACUAUAAGUCAGUCAAAUAAAACAUUUACCAUACAUCUAAAGUAUAGGAGAUAGAAAUUUAAUUAUCAAUGGCGCUAUAGAGAAAGUACNNNNNNNNNNNNNNNNNNNNNNNNNNNAAAGUANAAAAAAGCAAAGUUUACCCCUUGUACNNUUUGCAUAAUGAUUUAACUAGUAAUAANUUAGCAAAGAGACCUUAAGUUAAAUUACCCGAAACCAGACGAGCUACUUAUGAGCAGUAACUAGAACAAACUCAUCUAUGUGGCAAAAUAGUGAGAAGACUUGUAAGUAGAGGUGAAAAGCCUAACGAGCCUGGUGAUAGCUGGUUGUCCAAGAAAGGAAUUUCAGUUCAACAUUAAACAAUACUAAAAACCAUANNNNNNNNNNNCGUAUGUUUAACUGUUAGUCUAAAAAGGUACAGCUUUUUAGAAAUGGAUACAACCUUUACUAGAGAGUAACAUAAAACUUAAACCAUAGUUGGCCUAAAAGCAGCCAUCAAUUAAGAAAGCGUUCAAGCUCAACAACAAAAAUAAGUUUUAAUUUNAAUAAUAGACAAAAACUCCNAGCCUGACUAUUGGACUAAUCUAUUUAACUAUAGAAGAAAUACUGUUAAUAUGAGUAACAAGAAAAUUUUUCUCCUUGCACAAGCUUAUAUCAGUAACUGAUAAUAUACUGAUAGUUAACAACUAAUAAAUAUAACCUAACACUAAACUAUUUAUUAAUCGUACUGUUAAUCCAACACAGGUGUGCACCAAGGAAAGAUUAAAAAGAGUAAAAGGAACUCGGCAAACACAAACCCCGCCUGUUUACCAAAAACAUCACCUCUAGCAUAACUAGUAUUAGAGGCACUGCCUGCCCAGUGACAAUCGUUAAACGGCCGCGGUAUCUUGACCGUGCAAAGGUAGCAUAAUCACUUGUUCUCUAAAUAAGGACUUGUAUGAAUGGCCACACGAGGGUUUUACUGUCUCUUACUCUUAAUCAGUGAAAUUGACCUCCCCGUGAAGAGGCGGGGNUAAUACAAUAAGACGAGAAGACCCUAUGGAGCUUUAAUUAAUCAACUCAAAAAGCAUAAAAUAGUACCACCAAGGGAUAACAAAGCUUUACAUGAGCUGACAAUUUCGGUUGGGGUGACCUCGGAGUAUAAAAAACCCUCCGAGUGAUUAAAACUUAGGCCUACCAGCCAAAGUAUAGUAUCACUUAUUGAUCCAAAAUUUUGAUCAACGGAACAAGUUACCCUAGGGAUAACAGCGCAAUCCUAUUCUAGAGUCCAUAUCGACAAUAGGGUUUACGACCUCGAUGUUGGAUCAGGACAUCCUAAUGGUGCAGCAGCUAUUAAGGGUUCGUUUGUUCAACGAUUAAAGUCCUACGUGAUCUGAGUUCAGACCGGAGUAAUCCAGGUCGGUUUCUAUCUAUUACGCAUUUCUCCCAGUACGAAAGGACAAGAGAAAUAAGGCCAACUUUAAAAAAGCGCCUUCAAACAAUUAGUGACCCAGUCUCAACCUAAUAACCUAGCGCAAACAUACCCUGCCCAAGAUCAGGGCUUU